GGCUGGUCUGAAGGUAGUGAGUUAUCUCACUUGGUUGUUCACAGUCAGUUACAGACCGAACUCCUUGUUCUACUCUUUCCCACCUUCUCACUACCACAUUUGACUAGUCUAAA
This 113-nucleotide Y RNA is filed under the name Propithecus coquereli (Coquerel's sifaka). RNAcentral's name for it is "Y RNA (ENSPCOG00000008257.1)". It matches the Rfam family "Y RNA". From Rfam's summary of the family: Y RNAs are components of the Ro ribonucleoprotein particle (Ro RNP), in association with Ro60 and La proteins. The Y RNAs and Ro60 and La proteins are well conserved, but the function of the Ro RNP is not known. Lineage: Eukaryota; Metazoa; Chordata; Mammalia; Primates; Indriidae. The record is from Rfam by way of RNAcentral.